Zingiber officinale is the source of this 731-nucleotide long non-coding RNA. RefSeq lists it as uncharacterized. Lineage: Eukaryota; Viridiplantae; Streptophyta; Magnoliopsida; Zingiberales; Zingiberaceae. The transcript is spliced from 3 exons. The record is from RefSeq and is a predicted model, not a curated record.
UCUGCUCGCGUCUCCUUCUCGCGUCUGCUAGGGCACAGCGCCCCUUUCUCUUCUUCUUCCUUUUCUCCGGCCGGCGGCUUCUUCUCUUCCCUUGCCGCAGGCCGGCCAACUCUUCCCAACCUCCUCUUCUGCGAUCUGCUCCAAGCGGCGACGGCAGCAAACGCCGGCGGCUCCUUUGAAGCGACGACCUCAACUAGGGUUUCUAUUCGGCGAGGCGUUCUUCUCCGGAAAGCAUCCCUCUUCACCCCUUCCUCAGUGUAGCUUCUCCUGCGGACGGCGUUCCGAAAGCAGCGGGUUCCAACAGAGGAAGCCAGCUGUCCCUUCUUCUCCGGCGAAUUUCUUCUGCUUCCAUCACUGAGCAGUGUUGUGGCUUCCUGCGGACAGUGUUCCGAAGGCAGGAACUCCAGCAACUUCAGUCUACAAUUCCGGCAGAAGCAAGUGGCAUCUCAGUGUGUCAAUUUACAGUACAUCACUGUUCUUUCUUAAUUUUGUGUGGCUGUUGAGAGUUGUAAUCAAAGGUUCUGUCAUUGUGUUGCUGUCCACUGGGGCUGGUGUUCCAAAUCCGGGUCUCCGUGUGACGACGGAGGUGCUGGCUUUUGAACUGCACUUGCUUGCCACAAAGCAUCAGAUGUUUCAUCUGAUUCCAACACCUCAGGGAGCUUUUAUGUACUCAAUGACAUAUUCCAUCUCAACGUGCUCAUUACAAAGAUUCUAGGAUACACUUGGAGGAA